Molecule: ribosomal RNA, 560 nt
Filed under: uncultured bacterium
Lineage: Bacteria
Description: bacterial SSU rRNA
Rfam family: Bacterial small subunit ribosomal RNA
Source: RNAcentral
CCUACGGGAGGCAGCAGUGGGGAAUCUUGCGCAAUGGGCGAAGGCCUGACGCAGCCAUGCCGCGUGGAUGAUGAAGGUCUUAGGAUUGUAAAAUCCUUUCACCGGUGAAGAUAAUGACUGUAGCCGGAGAAGAAGCCCCGGCUAACUUCGUGCCAGCAGCCGCGGUAAUACGAAGGGGGCUAGCGUUGCUCGGAAUUACUGGGCGUAAAGGGAGCGUAGGCGGACAUUUAAGUCAGAGGUGAAAUCCCGGAGCUUAACUUCGGAACUGCCUUUGAUACUGGGUGUCUUGAGUGUGAGAGAGGUAUGUGGAACUCCGAGUGUAGAGGUGAAAUUCGUAGAUAUUCGGAAGAACACCAGUGGCGAAGGCGACAUACUGGCUCAUUACUGACGCUGAGGCUCGAAAGCGUGGGGAGCAAACAGGAUUAGAUACCCUGGUAGUCCACGCCGUAAACGAUGAUUGCUAGUUGUCGGGAAGCUUGCUUCUCGGUGACGCAGCUAACGCAUUAAGCAAUCCGCCUGGGGAGUACGGUCGCAAGNUUAAAACUCAAAGGAAUUGACGG